Galeopterus variegatus (Sunda flying lemur) is the source of this 357-nucleotide long non-coding RNA. RefSeq lists it as uncharacterized. The transcript has 3 exons. Lineage: Eukaryota; Metazoa; Chordata; Mammalia; Dermoptera; Cynocephalidae. The record is from RefSeq and is a predicted model, not a curated record.
UGGAAAACCAAACCCUGUGAAGUACAUUUGCUUUAUGAAUCCUCUACAAAAGGACAGAGCUGAGACUUGCAGGACUGUGAAUGAAAGUUGCAAGAUGAAGAAUGGAGCUGGGCUGUCCCAAAGAAAAGAGGUUUCCCUUCACCAAGAACGGGUUGAUAGGCAAUGGAGCCGUGUGUGUCUAAACUGUGCCACUGUGUCUUACUUCGCAGCACCCAGACGGGAGGUGGGAUCUCGGCUAAUGGUCCCAUUACCUUUGUUCCUUCCUGGAAUGUGGACAUGCUGAUGUAGAUGCUGGCUCAAGGUUCAACAUCCAUUUUGAGACAAUGAAGACAAAAAGUGGUGUAAGGAGACAGAAGG